This 402-nucleotide ribosomal RNA is filed under the name uncultured bacterium. Its description in RNAcentral is "bacterial SSU rRNA". It matches the Rfam family "Bacterial small subunit ribosomal RNA", at positions 355 to 774 of the family's 1533-position model. The record is from RNAcentral.
UGGGGAAUAUUGGACAAUGGGCGAAAGCCUGAUCCAGCCAUGCCGCGUGAGUGAUGAAGGCCCUAGGGUUGUAAAGCUCUUUCACCGGUGAAGAUAAUGACGGUAACCGGAGAAGAAGCCCCGGCUAACUUCGUGCCAGCAGCCGCGGUAAUACGAAGGGGGCUAGCGUUGUUCGGAAUUACUGGGCGUAAAGCGCACGUAGGCGGAUUGUUAAGUCGGGGGUGAAAUCCCGGGGCUCAACCCCGGAACUGCCUUCGAUACUGGCAAUCUAGAGUCCGGAAGAGGGGAGUGGAAUUCCGAGUGUAGAGGUGAAAUUCGUAGAUAUUCGGAGGAACACCAGUGGCGAAGGCGGCUCACUGGUCCGGUACUGACGCUGAGGUGCGAAAGCGUGGGGAGCAAACA